AUUGAACGCUGGCGGCAGGCUUAACACAUGCAAGUCGAACGGUAACAUAAAGAAGCUUGCUUCUUUGAUGACGAGUGGCGGACGGGUGAGUAAUGCUUGGGAAUCUAGCUUAUGGAGGGGGAUAACUACGGGAAACUGUAGCUAAUACCGCGUAGAAUCGAGAGAUGAAAGUGUGGGACCUUCGGGCCACAUGCCAUAGGAUGAGCCCAAGUGGGAUUAGGUAGUUGGUGAGGUAAAGGCUCACCAAGCCGACGAUCUCUAGCUGGUCUGAGAGGAUGACCAGCCACACUGGGACUGAGACACGGCCCAGACUCCUACGGGAGGCAGCAGUGGGGAAUAUUGCGCAAUGGGGGCAAACCCUGACGCAGCCCUGCCGCGUGAAUGAAGAAGGCCUUCGGGUUG
This 402-nucleotide ribosomal RNA is filed under the name Terrahaemophilus aromaticivorans. RNAcentral describes it as "bacterial SSU rRNA". It matches the Rfam family "Bacterial small subunit ribosomal RNA", at positions 30 to 425 of the family's 1533-position model. The record is from RNAcentral. Lineage: Bacteria; Pseudomonadati; Pseudomonadota; Gammaproteobacteria; Pasteurellales; Pasteurellaceae.